This 4540-nucleotide long non-coding RNA is filed under the name Marmota monax (woodchuck). The record is from RNAcentral. Lineage: Eukaryota; Metazoa; Chordata; Mammalia; Rodentia; Sciuridae.
GGAAAAUAAGCCCCAGAUUUUCCUAUCUUGAUUUAUAAAUUUUAACUUUUUAACAUUUUAACAUUUCCUAGUUAUUUUAAUAGACAGAAUUUCCACAAACUUAAAUGCUGGGUUUCUGUUCUCAUGACUAAAAGGCUGAGCAGUCACUCUAGUUAAACUGGGCUAACUGGGCUGCAUGAAAUAACCACACAAGAGACACAAAUACCUUUUUCUUUGGGGUUGCUGUGACGGCUCCUCUGACCUUAAGGGCCCGCAGAAAGAGAGAGAGCACACGCUGACCCCUUUUAUUGAGAAGAAUCUAUUCAAAUGAGGCAAGGGGUCAGGUUUCAAGGGGCUGAGUCUAUCUUCAUGAUGUCCACUGUCAGCAGGUUGACUGACACCUGGGUAGGCCACACCCAAGGGCACAGUAAGAGGAGGGGACGCACACAAGGCACUUCCAUGGAAGAUUCUAUCCUAAACAGGGCAAGGAGUUAUAUUACAAAGGAACAGGUGAGCAUAGCUUCACCCAUGGGGCUGUAGCAAGAUACACCCAUUUCUGUGACUGAGCGCCUCAGCACCCAGCUGGGGAGUGUAACUCAGUCACCCCCGUAAGGUUGGCCUCCCAUAUUUAAACGUAGCUCUUACAGGAGAGAAGAGCUUUAUCUUUCUUGUGUGCAUAAUGGCCUUCUAGACUUCAUCCUCAUUGGAGACAUUUUAUUUUUCUGUGAAUGAGGUCAAUAAUCAGUGUUUUCAUGUACAUUAGUAAAUUCUGACAUCCUUGUUAUUCUAUAGGUAGUGUUAUUUCAGGGCAGGAAUUAGAGACAUGGAUGUGGAGUCAAGGUUGAGUGAGACCUUAUACUUAUGACAAAAUAAUCAUUGAGCUGUUUUAUAGUCUCAUUUUCUGAGGACCAAAUAGUAAGAGGUAAACUGAGAAGGUUGUAUGUAAAGAAACUUAAUAGUUUCUUAUCAUAAAAUGUUGGCUUUUCAGCUACAAUAGGGUAAAAGCUUCUUAUACACAGAAUCCAUACAAAAGUCAUUUUGAAUAUCAUUCACAAUUUUAUUAACAUUACAUAUAAUUCAUGAAGAACUGAGUUUACAGCAACAUAUGCCUAAGAACAAGGUCUGGGGACAUUGUACACUCUCCAAUAUAGACAUUUAUACCAAUUUAAUUAUAGAAGAAACACUAAAUAAGAAGUAAUAUCAAUUGGAUGAACACACAACAAUAUAGAAAUGAAAACUUGUAAAGACUUAAGCAAGAGACCAAUAGUGGAUGAAGUGUGGUUUCCAAAUGCUAGGGGAAAAAUGGACAUAUAAUCAGUUAAAGGUAAUUGAAGAAAGAUAAGUUGAGCUACAAUAGUAUUUGAAAGAAAAAGAGUCACAAAGUAAGCAAUGAUUAUUCACUUCCAUUUGUAUGCUUUGUAAUAUUUUCCAAAAGUUUUCUGCAUAUUUUAUUGCAGUCAAAUUGGGAAACAAUCCAGAAAGUUAAAAAAUACAAGUAUUGCUCCUCUGGUUUUAAAAGCAAGAAAAGGAAUACAGAGAGAUUUAUUGAGAUAGAAAAAUUUACUAGCUGUAGUUAAAAAAAAAAAAAAAGAACUGAGAUUAUCAGAGUCUAAGUAUAAUGUAUUUCAGCCAUCCCUGGCUGCACAGAGCAUUUUUGCUUAACAAAGUAUUUGUUCACGUAUGUACGCUUAAAGAACAUUGAUGUUUUUAGCCAGUCUUUUUUAUUAAUAACAAUGAUGUACCUUUCAACACUUUCCAGCCACAAAAAUACACAAUUUCAGAAAUCUUCUGGUUCAUCCUCCGUAUAUUCUGCCACAAUAUUCACCAGGACAAGAUAAUAUAAACCUUUUGGCAGCCCCAUUAAGGCAUUCACUUUUAUUAAUUUUAAGGCCCAACAUAUACUGCAUAGAAAAGUAUGAUACAUGGAACAAUAUAAUUUUACUUAGUAAAAAUAUUUUUGUCAUGAAAAAUAUAUCCCAACUCUUUUGUUUUGGGAUUACAUUAGAAAAAUAUGAGGUAAUUAUACUGUGCUCAUACCUUAGGCUAUGAACCUUAAAAUUACCUUAAAAUACAAAAGAAUAUUAAUGUUUAUUUUUAAAUAUAGUUAUUAUAUAUCAAAUAUUCAAAUUCCACAGCAAUCAAUGAUACAAAAACAUGAGAAAAACAACUGCAGUUUGAUGUCUCAUCAUGACAUUUCAAUACCUGCUGUAGAUUGCCUGUGGCUUCCACUUUUAAUUUAAAAAAAUAAUAAUUUUUCCAUACAAUUUGGGUGAAGUGGAGGACAAAAUCUCCUGCAUUGUUUUCCUGGGCAAGCCAUCGAACUUGAAACAACUGAACCCCAAAUCAAAAUAUGUUUACUCUACAAUCUAAUUAUAUCAGUUCUUAACUCAUCUAGCAUUAAACAAAUCCACUUUCUUCUGGUUGAAUAUCUUGAGCACAAAGAUAUGGAACCUGGGAGCUAAAAAAAAUAUGACAUAAGUAAUGAGGCCUUUUUUUGCCUAAGGCAAAUUGCACUUUUUGUAUUUGAUUUUUCUGCCUGUGAAGAUCUACAUUUCUCUUCCUAUAAUGGUAUUAUGAUUGAUGGUGACUUGUGUGAUUACAGGAGGCUUAAAAUGCAGCUACAUGUGUUUGAGUCCUUUCACUGGUAAAACAUACUAUAAUUUGUACAAUAAUAGGAGACUCAAAAUGGUGCUAGAAAAACUUAUUUUUUUAAUCUUCCUCUUUAUUCAUGGUUUUCUAAUGGUUUUGAUCUAGUCAGUUCAGACAAUUUCUGAUUAAUGGGUGUCAUAAAAUGUAAAUUCCCUCUAUAAUCAUUAGCAAUGAGACAAUUCUUCGCAUUAAAAAUAAAAACAUUCUCAUAGAGUCUUUGCUAUAUUCUAAGGAACCACUCUUGCUUUUGCUUUACUAAACAAAAUAAAUUCCACAUAUUUGAGUCUCAAAGUAAAUGGCAAUACAUUAACCUAAGCACCAUGAGGAAUAUAAGAAAUACAAGAUAUCACCUUUGAAAUAUAAAAACAAAUAAGAAUCAGAAAUGCUAAGCCAUUACCAUCUAACCUAUACCAGUGCUUUUAAAAUGUAAUCUUAGAUGUUCUACUCACUCUCAUAGUAAGAUGCCUUAGACACAAAGAUAUUUAAUCACUCACUAAAGGUCACUCAGUGAAUGCAUAACAGUUCUUAUUCUAAAGCUUUUACAGAAUUUUUUGAUAAUACAUUGCAAAGUCUCACCUGUCUUCUUUAGAAAUAAGACACAGAGGUUGUUUUAGUCUGUUUUAUAAUGUUACAGAAAAAUACGAGAUACAGGCCAAUGUAUAAAAAGAGAUAUAAAUGCAUAAAAAUAUUUUCUGAGAGGCUGGCGGUGUGGCUCAGUGGUAGAGUGCUCACCUGUCACAUGCAAGAAGCUGGGUUCAAUUCUCAGCACCAUAUAAAAAUGAAUAAAUAGAUAAAAUAAAGCUAUUGUGUCCAACUACAACUUAUAAAUAAAUAAAAAAAUAUUUUUGAGUACAUAGUUCUGAAGAUUUAAGUGCACUGUACUAGAAUCUUGUAAGCUCCUGUGACAGCUCGUUCACCUGCAUUACACAUGAGGUGGCAUUAUGGUGAGGGCUCAUUUGAGAGGUAGAGAGAACAUAAUGAUACAGGAAGUCAGGGAAAUUCAGAAAAAAAGACUUGCUCUUUUGUAACAACUGGCUUUAAUAAGAACUAUAUUUUGCCCCAUGAAAGUUACAUUAACCCUUUCCAAGAGCAUCUCCCCCAAAUAUCUAACUACAAAUACCUUCUCUGUGCAAGAUAAAUGGGUAAAAGUAAAAAAAAAAAAUCAUGUAAAAUUUAUGUUAAAAAUAAGAACUAUUUUUUAAUAAGGAAAGUGUUAAUGUCUUUUUGAAACAACAUGACAAUAAACUGUGCCUAUCAGAUAAAGGAAAGGAACAAUUCUGGUAAAUUUCUUCAUUUUAUUCUUUGAGUAUGCCAAGUAUUCUUUGGCAAAUUUCCACAUGUAUUAUUUUAAUUUCACAGGUGCAAAUUAUAUCUUUUUUUUCUAAAUUGCUACUUAUUUAAUAUAAAAUUGUUGAGAAAUUAUUUCUUCAUGUGCUGAUAGUGAAAUAUAGUGAGGAAUGGAAGUCCUUUAAAGCUCUAUGAAUUGCAAUCCCAGAAUGGUGGGAGGAAACUGUAUAUAAUCAUGAGCAAUAUUGAGAACUAUGAAUUUGUUCCAGAUAUUUAUUUCUCUUAUAGAAAAUAUCAUAGAAAAGGCCAUCAGAGUAAUCAGAAGAAGAAAAUUAAAAGAGAAACAAUCAAAUCAUAAACAUCUGGUUGAAACAAGAACUGGCCAACUGUUGGAUCUUAGAUUUUGACUUCACUAAAUUUUCUCCUAUCUUUUUUAAAUUAUGACUUAGAGGAAGGUACUUCUAUUAAAACCAUGACCAGAAAAAAUUAUAACAAUUUGUUUUUUCUAAAAUAUGGAUAAAAUUGACUUGCUAACUCAGGAUAGAAUCUAAUGAGAAAAUCUUGUUAUGGUAAGAAAAAAAAAAGUAAAACUACUCAACAUGAAUAUUGGCCUUUUCAAGAAAAG